GAUGAAGAACGCAGUGAAAUGCGAUAAGUAAUGUGAAUUGCAGAAUUCAGUGAAUCAUCGUAUCUUUGAACGCACAUUGCGCCCCUUGGUAUUCCGAGGGGCAUGCCUGUUCGAGCGUCAUUUAAACCAAUCUAGCUUGCUAGGUCUUGGGCUUUCGCCUCUGGGCGGGCCUCAAAAUCAGUGGCGGUGCUGCCGGGCUUUAAGCGUAGUAAUCUUUCUCGCUAUAGGGUCCUGGUAGAGGCUUGCCAACAACUAUAAAUCUUUCAAAGGUUGACCUCGGAUCAGGUAGGGAUACCCGCUGAACUUAAGCAUAUCAAUAAGCGGAGGA
Molecule: unclassified non-coding RNA, 328 nt
Filed under: soil metagenome
Description: partial contains 5.8S ribosomal RNA, internal transcribed spacer 2, and large subunit ribosomal RNA
Rfam family: 5.8S ribosomal RNA (bases 1-120)
Source: RNAcentral